Long non-coding RNA from Passer domesticus (house sparrow), 826 nucleotides. RefSeq lists it as uncharacterized. The record is from RefSeq and is a predicted model, not a curated record. The transcript has 2 exons. Lineage: Eukaryota; Metazoa; Chordata; Aves; Passeriformes; Passeridae.
GGAGCACCUGGAGAGGGAGAGGAGAGGAGAGGAGAUGCUUCUCCUCAGGGUGACACGCUGCCUUCUGGCCUGGACCUGCACCCAGUUCCUGGUGUCCCUCAUGCACCUUUCCAUCCCUGCUGGAAGCUGUCCCUGCCUGGAGACUGCCAAAGGGAUGGAGUUGGUCAGAAGUGGUCUCAGCCUGACUCAGAGUCCUCAUCUGAAAGGCAGAAGAAGCUCUUGGAGGGUGUGGAAUUGCCAACAUUCACAAGAGUUGGGCUGAUUUAUCAGCCUGAUUUCUUUGGUCUGUUCAUCUGGGGCUGUUUGGGGUGCAGGGGAACAGAGCCCCACGUGGGAGCAGCCAGGAGGAGGGGAAAGCUGGAAGCAGAAAUGUGGGGUCAGAGCAGAGGCUGACACUGGGACAGGGAAACACGGCAGCUGAUGCAAGAAGGAGAGGCUCUUGGUGACCAAUAAAUCCAAUUAAACCAGACUUUUUUUGGCUCCAAGGGGUACCAGCAGAGAUUUUAACGCUGUCCUGAGCCCUGCUGAGAGCCCCCAGCCCUGCUGGAGUGUUUACUGCUCUCCUGCCUGUCUGUGGGAGCAGCAGUGCUGUCUCUGCUGUGUUGUCUCUCACAUGCAUCCGUGGGCGUCCUGUGCAAAUCACAGCUUGUUUACUUACCUUUCACAGAAACCUAGGAUGAAGUGUGCCCACAAAAGGAAUUAAAAACUUAGCAAGCAGGAAGGCAAAAUUGUCCUUUUCCAGGGAAGACAUUGAGGAUGACUGGCAGUCCUCAGUGUGUACCUGCGCUGCGUCUGGAAAAUAUUUUGACAGAAAAAGCUGAAAGCA